Non-coding RNA from Megalobrama amblycephala (Wuchang bream), 1707 nucleotides. The record is from the annotation of a RefSeq genome assembly. NCBI's taxonomy places the organism in Eukaryota, Metazoa, Chordata, Actinopteri, Cypriniformes, Xenocyprididae.
AUUUAUAACUCUGUUUUUAUAAGAACUUUAUAACUCUGAGAAUCUGAACCAACAGCAACCAUGAGCUUCAUCACCAUCUUCAUCUGGAUAUUAACUAUCUACUGUUUCACAGAAUCAAGAGGUGAAGUGACAGUCACUCAGACGCCUGCAGUGAAAUCUGUUCGUCCAGGAGACUCCGUUACUGUAUCCUGUAAAACCAGUCCUGACGUCUAUCAGGGUUGGAGUGUUCAGCCUCUAGCCUGGUACUUACAGAAACCUGGAGAAGCUCCUAAACUCCUGAUUUAUGCAACAAGCACCCUCCAGUCAGGAACUCCAUCUAGAUUCAGUGGCAGUGGAUCUAACAGUGAUUUCACUCUGACCAUCAGUGGAGUCCAGACUGAAGAUGCUGGACAUUAUUACUGUCAGAGUGUACACUAUCCAAACAGCAACUGGGUGUUCACACAGUGAUAAAGAGUCGUACAAAAACCUCCGUCAGUCAGAGUCACAGUGACUGAACUGAUACUGCAGCUGCUCACACACUUUCACACACUUUCACACACACUCAUCAGUGCAGAAACACAAAUAUGAUCUUAAUAUCAGCUUUGUUGAGCUUCAUCAGUAUUUCUUCAGAUAAUUAGAAAUUCUUUUGAUGUUAUCAUCAUUUUUAGAUCAUUUAUGGUUUAUUUAUCCUCAUUUCCACUCACUCAAUAUUUUAAAGUCAUUGAUAUUUUUGAUCAUGUACUUUUAUUAUUUUUCUUCCUAAUCUUAGUUAUACAGUAAAGAUCUGAGGAACUGAAGCUGUCGAUCACACAGCGAGAGUUUAUCUGGACACUUCCCAAAACUCCUGUUAUAAUCAGUGACGCUCUUACACUACACAAUCAAUCUCUGACUGUAUUUACAUCGUGUUUGCAUUGUUAGUUAUGGUGAAAGCAUUUCUGGAGUGCAGAAAUUUAGUUGUAAUGACGAGAUCACUGCAUUCACACCAUCAACAGACUGUCUGUCAUCUGCUCAGUUUCUCAUCACUGCAACCUUCCCUGUGAUGAACAGAUCUAAAUAUAAGGCAAUAAUCAACACUUUUCACCAUUCGUUCAUUUAGACAGCUGUAAUAGUAAAAAUGUAGUGAUAGUAUUCGAGAAGGUUUCACAUGUAAACAAUCAGAGCACUAAAAUCAGAGUGGAAAUAGCCAUUUAUUUCUAAAUUAUGACAAUUAUUUGAUGUAGAAAUCAUAUUAACAUUAUAAGUGCACCUCAGGAAACAUUAUAAAUAAUAAUGAAUCAGUUGGUGAAGCGACUCAGACGCCUGCAGUGAAAUCUGUUCAUCUAGGAAACACAUUCACCAUGUCCUGUAAAAGCAGUCCUGACGUCUAUCAGAGUUGGGAUCAUCAACCUCUAUCCUGGUUUCAGUGAUAAAGAGUCAAAAACCUCCGUCAGUCAGAGUCACAGUGAUUUGUGCUAGAAACACUGAAGAAGUUCAUUCACAAAUAUGAGGCUGCAGCAGAUGAGAAGAUUUGAAGUCAAUAACAUCAUUUUAGAGCUUCAGACGACUGAGAAUAUCGAGCACAGGUGAGAUUAUCAGAGAUCCAAACACUGAAGGGUUCAUCCUAGACCAUUUGUCUAUUUAACCCCAAAUUUAUCUGUGUAUCAUCUAGAUACCCUGAAGACAUCAAACAAGUGAUCAACAGAAUUUGGAUUCAUCAGAUUGUUGAGAAGAUAUAGUUUUAUAAGUGUA